UACGAAGGGUGCGAGCGUUGUCCGGAAUUAUUGGGCGUAAAGAGCUUGUAGGCGGUUUGUCGCGUCUGCUGUGAAAACUCAGGGCUUAACCCUGAGCUUGCAGUGGGUACGGGCAGACUAGAGUGCGGUAGGGGAGACUGGAAUUCCUGGUGUAGCGGUGAAAUGCGCAGAUAUCAGGAGGGAACACCGGUGGCGAAGGCGGGUCUCUGG
RNAcentral lists this ribosomal RNA (210 nucleotides) under uncultured bacterium. RNAcentral's name for it is "partial 16S ribosomal RNA". It matches the Rfam family "Bacterial small subunit ribosomal RNA", at positions 524 to 732 of the family's 1533-position model. The record is from RNAcentral.